This is a long non-coding RNA of Capsicum annuum, 789 nucleotides long. RefSeq lists it as uncharacterized. The record is from RefSeq and is a predicted model, not a curated record. The transcript has 2 exons. Lineage: Eukaryota; Viridiplantae; Streptophyta; Magnoliopsida; Solanales; Solanaceae.
AUAAAUUCAAUGAAGCCUGCAACUGUUUCAGUUUUCAGCUUUUUGGUGGUAAGCUGAAGGGGAAAAACACACUGUGGAUCAAACUCCAAUUAAACCCUCCAAAUUCCACCACUUUUUGCAUUUACAACUUCUUCUAAAGCCCUUUAGCUUUUCAACAGAAAAUAAAUUUCUCUUAGCAAAUAGAUAUGGGUACUGAGAUCAAAUCUAGUGUAGUGCAUGUGGUGAAGGUCAAAUGAAACAGUAUCAAUGCAUCAAGAAAAUGGUUCAUGUACCCUUGGUUUUUGUUACUAAGUGCAGGUUGAUGGUAAAUGCUCCGUUUGUCAUCCGAGAGAGCAAAGAAGGCGCUGGCGAACAGGAAUGUAAAAUCAAAUUCCCAGGGGGAAACAGGUUAAGUCUCUGCCACAGCUAGUCUAAAGAAACCUCUGAGUUCCAAAGUGCUGCAGCAAGCAUCAAAGUUCCGUGUAGUAAAUCAAAGAACGAGAUAGUGAUGAUUUUGUACUUGGUCCAAAGAGGAGAAAAGGGUAAGAAAGAGCACUCUUUGCUUGUGCUGUCAUGUAUUGAGUAGAAAUUUGGGACAUUUGGAUUUGGUUGAGUUUAGAUGCACCACGCCAGUCAUGGAAACUGGCAAAAGGAGGAUUCUUGAGUCCAUUGUUUUAUUCUUGAUCCAUGGAGAUGGUAAAUGAAUAAAAAAUAUUAAUGCUUCUAGUCUGUUUCAUUGAAUUGUAGUUGCAUACGAACCAAUUUAAUGUUUUAUAGCUGAAUUUCUACAUCUGAUAUGACUUGUGUUUA